AAGACUUUAAGUUAAUAAAACUAAUAACCUUCAAAGUUUUCAUUGAGCUAACCUCAAGUCUUG
This 63-nucleotide transfer RNA is filed under the name Eisenia spelaea. RNAcentral describes it as "tRNA-Trp". Lineage: Eukaryota; Metazoa; Annelida; Clitellata; Crassiclitellata; Lumbricidae. The record is from RNAcentral.